CAGCCGUAAACAAUGUGCGUUAGGUGUGUCGGUAACCACGCGUUACUGAUGCGCCGAAGAGAAAUCGUGAAACGCACCACCUGGGAAGUACGGUCGCAAGGCUGAAACUUAAAGGAAUUGGCGGGGGAGCACCACAACAGGUGGAGCCUGCGGUUUAAUUGGACUCAACGCCGGACAUCUCACCGGAUAAGACAGCUGAAUGAUUGUCAAUCUGAAGGUUUUACAUGACUAGCUGAGAGGAGGUGCAUGGCGUCAGUGACU
RNAcentral lists this ribosomal RNA (261 nucleotides) under uncultured archaeon. Its description in RNAcentral is "partial 16S ribosomal RNA". It matches the Rfam family "Archaeal small subunit ribosomal RNA", at positions 748 to 1008 of the family's 1478-position model. The record is from RNAcentral.